Molecule: ribosomal RNA, 253 nt
Filed under: uncultured bacterium
Lineage: Bacteria
Description: partial 16S ribosomal RNA
Rfam family: Bacterial small subunit ribosomal RNA
Source: RNAcentral
UACGAGGGGUGCAAGCGUUGCUCGGAAUUAUUGGGCGUAAAGGGUAGGUAGGUGGUCUCAUUUGUCUGGGGUGAAAGCCUUGAGCUUAACUCAAGAAGUGCCCCAGAAACGGUGAGACUGGAGUCUUGGAGAGGGUCGUGGAAUUCCCGGUGUAGCGGUGAAAUGCGCAGAUAUCGGGAGGAACACCAAUGGCGAAAGCAGGUAACUGGACUAUUACUGACACUCAGCUGCGAAAGCUAGGGGAGCAAACAGG